RNAcentral lists this long non-coding RNA (963 nucleotides) under Marmota monax (woodchuck). Lineage: Eukaryota; Metazoa; Chordata; Mammalia; Rodentia; Sciuridae. The record is from RNAcentral.
CUUUACAAAAACAAGGCUUGCACCAGCUGAAAGCUACCAGGCUCCUAAAUGGAGUGUAAAAGCACAGGGUGGUCAGGGGCUUGACUACUGCCAGGUGCUUAUCUGUUAUCUCUUGUUCCUUUGGUAGGAAGGUUGUCUUAUUAAUAAUUUUGCUUUUUCCUCCUUGGUAUUAUCCAUUUCAUUCCUAAGAAUACUGCCAUUUACUUGGUUUUAGUAGUGUCUUACUUCACGACUGUCUCACGUGUCUUUAAUUCUUUGACACUGAAAAGCUAAGCAUUUCAAAAAAGGAAAUGCUUGCCUUGGAAGCCACAGGGGAAAACAUGAGUAUUCAUUUGGUCCUAUCACAAGCUCUUGAGGACCAGUUAGAAAUAAAGGAGUUUACAACUGAAGGAGACGGUGGUGGCUUGCUGGUUGGCGUGAUCAUCUGUCAUUCUUCCAAGCACAGCUGAUUGUGAUUCCGAAGUGAAGGAGGAGAGAAAGGAAAAGGGAGAGAACAGGCAAGCUGUGCAGGAAGGUAAUGGGCAGUAGAAAUGUUUCUUGCUAAGCUGUAAAAAACUGUAGCCUAAUUCUGUUUUGUAGCUAAUAGCAAAAAGCUAUGAAGCAUUUUUGAGUAUUUUCAUACAUUUCCUACACUGUCCUAAAAUAUAUACAUAUGUGUGAGUGUGUGUGUCUGUAUGUGUGUGUGUGUGUGUGUGUAUAAUUUAGUUUUUAUAUAGCUCAUUUAAUCCUCACACCAACCCUCUUAAGGAUUCUAGCUCCAUUUAUAGGCAAGGAAAUUGAGGCACACAGAAAGUACCCAAUUUGCCCCAGGAUAUGCAAACAGAGGAAUCAAUAAGAGGGAUUCAAACCAGUAGGAUUUAACCCAAAGCAAUUAACCCACUGAUAAUUGCUGUGCUGUGCUGCCUGGAUUAGGAAUUAUGCUGCCCUAUAGUUCACCAAUUAGACUUGCAGAGAUCAGACAAA